This 328-nucleotide unclassified non-coding RNA is filed under the name soil metagenome. RNAcentral describes it as "partial contains 5.8S ribosomal RNA, internal transcribed spacer 2, and large subunit ribosomal RNA". The stretch from base 1 to 120 matches the Rfam family "5.8S ribosomal RNA", at positions 35 to 154 of the family's 154-position model. The record is from RNAcentral.
GAUGAAGAACGUAGCGAAAUGCGAUAAGUAACGUGAAUUGCAGAAUUCAGUGAAUCAUCGAAUCUUUGAACGCACAUUGCGCCCCUUGGUAUUCCGAGGGGCAUGCCUAUUCGAGCGUCAUUAUCACCCCUCAAGCCUAGCUUGGUGUUGAGGCCUGCUGUUAAGGCAGCCUCUAAAAUCAGUGGCAGUGCUGUCAGGCUCUAAGCGUAGUAAUUUCAUCGCUAUAGACACCUGGUGGAUACUCGCCAGAACCCCCCCAUUUUUUAAUGAUUGACCUCAGAUUAGGUAGGGAUACCCGCUGAACUUAAGCAUAUCAAUAAGCGGAGGA